UACGAAGGGGGCUAGCGUUGCUCGGAAUCACUGGGCGUAAAGCGCACGUAGGCGGCUCAGCAAGUCAGGGGUGAAAUCCCGGGGCUCAACCCCGGAACUGCCCUUGAAACUGCUAAGCUAGAAUCCUGGAGAGGCGAGUGGAAUUCCGAGUGUAGAGGUGAAAUUCGUAGAUAUUCGGAAGAACACCAGUGGCGAAGGCGACUCGCUGGACAGGUAUUGACGCUGAGGUGCGAAAGCGUGGGGAGCAAACAGG
This 253-nucleotide ribosomal RNA is filed under the name uncultured bacterium. RNAcentral's name for it is "partial 16S ribosomal RNA". It matches the Rfam family "Bacterial small subunit ribosomal RNA", at positions 524 to 776 of the family's 1533-position model. The record is from RNAcentral.